UUAGUUUGUUUGAAUGUCUGCUGCUCGCUCUUGAUGAUGCUCAUGCUAGCCAUGCUGUGAACUUGAAUAUAAACCGCUGUAUGAAGUUUAACGUUAAUUAGACCGAGGCUGCCGAAAUCAUGUUCAGUGUAUGUGGGAUUAAUAAUUUCCCCUUUUCUCCCUCAAGUGGCAGGCUUGUAAAUUCUGUCAUCUGUUCAUUAUUGGUGUUGAUGGUGUUUUUCACAUGCACGCUUUUUAAUGCUAGUUUAAUUCUCAAAUAGAUCUGAUACUUUCGUUUCACAAAAAGUAAACAAAUUGUUCACUUUUUUAGGGCCUGGCUGCCACCAGUUGAGUCAAUGAUUCAGUGAAGAGACAGUUUGGGCAGCAGCAACAAGACAACUAUUACAAGUAGAGAUGGGUUUCAAGAACUGGUACUAAUUUGGUUCCUGACUUGUUCGACACAACCACAUAUCAUGUAAAUCAUCUCAGAGUGGAUGGCAGCAAGGAUCCAGGAUCAAGAGAUCAUUCAUCAUGGAGACUGUUCCACAGGAAGCAGUUUAUCCUGGGUGAAAAACUAAACCUGGUUGUUUCAGCAUCACUCAGGCAAGACUAAAUACAUUUAAAUUGAUUUCAGUUGGUUAUGUGUUUCAGGUCAUCCUGACCAUUCUGCUGUUCUGGA
Carassius carassius (crucian carp) is the source of this 658-nucleotide long non-coding RNA. RefSeq lists it as uncharacterized. The transcript has 3 exons. Lineage: Eukaryota; Metazoa; Chordata; Actinopteri; Cypriniformes; Cyprinidae. The record is from RefSeq and is a predicted model, not a curated record.